This 497-nucleotide ribosomal RNA is filed under the name uncultured bacterium. Its description in RNAcentral is "partial 16S ribosomal RNA". It matches the Rfam family "Bacterial small subunit ribosomal RNA", at positions 28 to 507 of the family's 1533-position model. The record is from RNAcentral.
GACGAACGCUGGCGGCGUGCCUAAUACAUGCCAGUAGAACGCUGAAGAGAGGAGCUUGCUCUUCUUGGAUGAGUUGCGAACGGGUGAGUAACGCGUAGGUAACCUGCCUGGUAGCGGGGGAUAACUAUUGGAAACGAUAGCUAAUACCGCAUAAAAUGGAUUAUCGCAUGAUAAUCCAUUGAAAGGUGCAAAUGCAUCACUACCAGAUGGACCUGCGUUGUAUUAGCUAGUUGGUGGGGUAACGGCUCACCAAGGCGACGAUACAUAGCCGACCUGAGAGGGUGAUCGGCCACACUGGGACUGAGACACGGCCCAGACUCCUACGGGAGGCAGCAGUAGGGAAUCUUCGGCAAUGGACGGAAGUCUGACCGAGCAACGCCGCGUGAGUGAAGAAGGUUUUCGGAUCGUAAAGCUCUGUUGUAAGAGAAGAACGAGUGUGAGAGUGGAAAGUUCACACUGUGACGGUAGCUUACCAGAAAGGGACGGCUAACUACGUG